This 76-nucleotide transfer RNA is filed under the name Acholeplasmataceae bacterium. RNAcentral describes it as "tRNA-Lys". It matches the Rfam family "tRNA". From Rfam's summary of the family: Transfer RNA (tRNA) molecules are approximately 80 nucleotides in length. Their secondary structure includes four short double-helical elements and three loops (D, anti-codon, and T loops). Further hydrogen bonds mediate the characteristic L-shaped molecular structure. tRNAs have two regions of fundamental functional importance: the anti-codon, which is responsible for specific mRNA codon recognition, and the 3' end, to which the tRNAs corresponding amino acid is attached (by aminoacyl-tRNA synthetases). tRNAs cope with the degeneracy of the genetic code in two manners: having more than one tRNA (with a specific anti-codon) for a particular amino acid; and 'wobble' base-pairing, i.e. permitting non-standard base-pairing at the 3rd anti-codon position. The record is from RNAcentral. Lineage: Bacteria; Bacillati; Mycoplasmatota; Mollicutes; Acholeplasmatales; Acholeplasmataceae. RNAcentral also lists the same sequence under 1 other name.
GCAUUCUUAGCUCAGUUGGUAGAGCAACUGACUCUUAAUCAGUGGGUCCGGGGUUCGAGUCCCCGAGAGUGUACCA